AUUGAACGCUGGCGGCAUGCCUUACACAUGCAAGUCGAACGGCAGCACGGGUGCUUGCACCUGGUGGCGAGUGGCGAACGGGUGAGUAAUACAUCGGAACGUACCUUAUCGUGGGGGAUAACGCAGCGAAAGCUGUGCUAAUACCGCAUAAGCCCUGAGGGGGAAAGCGGGGGAGCGAAAGACCUCGCGCGAUUAGAGCGGCCGAUGCCUGAUUAGCUUGGUGGUGGGGUAAAAGCCCACCAAGGCGACGAUCAGUAGCUGGUCUGAGAGGACGAUCAGCCACACUGGGACAGAGACACGGCCCAGACUCCUACGGGAGGCAGCAGUGGGGAAUUUUGGACAAUGGGGGCAACCCUGAUCCAGCAAUGCCGCGUGAGUGAAGAAGGCCUUCGGGUUAUAAAGCUCUUUUGUCAGGGAAGAAACACCGGCUCUAACACAGUCCGGGAAUGACGGUACCUGAAGAAUAAGCACCGGCUAACUACGUGCCAGCAGCCGCCGUAA
RNAcentral lists this ribosomal RNA (501 nucleotides) under uncultured bacterium. RNAcentral's name for it is "partial 16S ribosomal RNA". It matches the Rfam family "Bacterial small subunit ribosomal RNA", at positions 29 to 523 of the family's 1533-position model. The record is from RNAcentral.